Long non-coding RNA from Gadus macrocephalus (Pacific cod), 245 nucleotides. RefSeq lists it as uncharacterized. NCBI's taxonomy places the organism in Eukaryota, Metazoa, Chordata, Actinopteri, Gadiformes, Gadidae. The transcript is spliced from 3 exons. The record is from RefSeq and is a predicted model, not a curated record.
AUCUGUAGAGAGGAGGAUUUCUCUGUUCAUGGAGUGGAGGGUUUGGACAGCUACUCUGCUGAGACCUCACUUCUCACAAUACAAGCAAGUGUUACAUCAGCAGAUGAAAGAUUGGGUGACAUCAAUGAGGACGCAUUUAAUGAUAUAACAAACUCUAUCAUUGACUACGAUGAGGACGAAUACGAUCCUUCUUGGCAUCCAGACAUGGAGGCGCAAUCAGAUUUGCUGUUGGAAGAGGAGGACAC